AUUGAACGCUGGCGGCAUGCUUUACACAUGCAAGUCGAACGGUAACAGGCCGCAAGGUGCUGACGAGUGGCGAACGGGUGAGUAAUGCAUCGGAACGUGCCCAGUCGUGGGGGAUAACUACUCGAAAGAGUAGCUAAUACCGCAUACGAUCUAUGGAUGAAAGCGGGGGACCGUAAGGCCUCGCGCGAUUGGAGCGGCCGAUGUCAGAUUAGGUAGUUGGUGGGGUAAAGGCUCACCAAGCCAACGAUCUGUAGCUGGUCUGAGAGGACGACCAGCCACACUGGGACUGAGACACGUCCCAGACUCCUACGGGAGGCAGCAGUGGGGAAUUUUGGACAAUGGGCGCAAGCCUGAUCCAGCAAUGCCGCGUGCAGGAAGAAGGCCUUCGGGUUGUAAACUGCUUUUGUACGGAACGAAACGGCUCUGGUUAAUACCCGCGGCUAAUGACGGUACCGUAAGAAUAAGCACCGGCUAACUACGU
Molecule: ribosomal RNA, 481 nt
Filed under: uncultured bacterium
Lineage: Bacteria
Description: partial 16S ribosomal RNA
Rfam family: Bacterial small subunit ribosomal RNA
Source: RNAcentral